AUGGCUCAGGACGAACGCUGGCGGUGUGCCUCAUACAUGCAAGUCGAACGAUAAGGUCUCUUCGGAGAUACAUAAGUGGCGGACGGGUGAGUACAACAUAGGAAAUCUGCCCUAAAGCGGGGGACAACAGAGGGAAACUUCUGCUAAUACCCCAUAUGAGCUUAGUUGAAAUACUAAUCUUGAAAGAUUUAUCACUUUAGGAUGAGCCUGUGCCUGAUUAGCUGGUUGGUGGUGUAAUGGACUACCAAGGCGACGAUCAGUAGCUGGUUUGAGAGGAUGAUCAGCCACAAUGGGACUGAGACACGGCCCAUACUCCUACGGGAGGCAGCAGUAGGGAAUUUUGCGCAAUGGGCGAAAGCCUGACGCAGCAACACCGCGUGAAUGUUAAGCCCUUCGGGGUGUAAAGUUCUGUCAGUAGGGAAGAACAAAUGACUGUACCUGCAAAGGAAGCACCGGCUAACUCCGUGCCAGCCGCGGC
Molecule: ribosomal RNA, 478 nt
Filed under: uncultured bacterium
Lineage: Bacteria
Description: bacterial SSU rRNA
Rfam family: Bacterial small subunit ribosomal RNA
Source: RNAcentral